This 68-nucleotide ribosomal RNA is filed under the name Bacteroidales bacterium. RNAcentral describes it as "partial 23S ribosomal RNA". Lineage: Bacteria; Pseudomonadati; Bacteroidota; Bacteroidia; Bacteroidales. The record is from RNAcentral.
GAUAGGCUGCAGGUGUAAAGGCGGAGACGCCAAAGCCGAGCAGUACUAAUCGUCCGAUAGGCUUACCG